RNAcentral lists this small nucleolar RNA (78 nucleotides) under Mus pahari (shrew mouse). RNAcentral describes it as "predicted gene, 24453 (MGP_PahariEiJ_G0033981.1)". It matches the Rfam family "Small nucleolar RNA SNORD28". From Rfam's summary of the family: U28 is a member of the C/D class of snoRNA which contain the C (UGAUGA) and D (CUGA) box motifs. U28 is encoded within the U22 snoRNA host gene (UHG) in mammals and is thought to act as a 2'-O-ribose methylation guide for ribosomal RNA. The record is from RNAcentral. Lineage: Eukaryota; Metazoa; Chordata; Mammalia; Rodentia; Muridae.
GUCAGAUGAUUUGAAAUGAUGACACUGAUAACACUCCAUGAAGGUGUGACUUUAUAGCAUGUUAGAGUUCUGAUGGCA